RNAcentral lists this ribosomal RNA (420 nucleotides) under uncultured Planctomycetaceae bacterium. Its description in RNAcentral is "bacterial SSU rRNA". It matches the Rfam family "Bacterial small subunit ribosomal RNA", at positions 353 to 772 of the family's 1533-position model. Lineage: Bacteria; Pseudomonadati; Planctomycetota; Planctomycetia; Planctomycetales; Planctomycetaceae. The record is from RNAcentral.
AGUCGAGAAUCUUCGGCAAUGGGCGAAAGCCUGACCGAGCGACGCCGCGUGCGGGAUGAAGGCCCUCGGGUUGUAAACCGCUGUCGUAGGGGAGGAAGGCUCUGUGAAGAACAGGGUUUGACCUAUCCUAGGAGGAAGUACGGGCUAAGUUCGUGCCAGCAGCCGCGGUAAUACGAACCGUACAAACGUUAUUCGGAAUCACUGGGCUUAAAGGGUGCGUAGGCGGCCAUGUAAGUGAGGUGUGAAAUCCCUCGGCUCAACCGAGGAACUGCGCUUCAUACUGCAUGGCUUGAGGGAGACAGGGGUAAGCGGAACUGAUGGUGGAGCGGUGAAAUGCGUUGAUAUCAUCAGGAACACCGGUGGCGAAAGCGGCUUACUGGGUCUCUUCUGACGCUGAGGUACGAAAGCUAGGGGAGCGAA